CUCAAAGAAGGCCAGGAAGGCCAACCGCACCUGCUGCCUCAGGAGAUGGAGGAGGAGGAGUCUGAAGACGAUGAGCAGGCCAUGAAGCAGGGUCUGACAAUGAUUGUCGAAGACAUCCUGCAGGGGACGGGGGAGGAUGCAGACGAGGACGCCAGUGAAGAAGAGGAUGCACCAACCCCCAUCCCAACAACCUCCAGCAUAUACAAGGUGCUGGGUCCCAUCUUUGGAG
Molecule: long non-coding RNA, 229 nt
Organism: Epinephelus lanceolatus (giant grouper)
Lineage: Eukaryota; Metazoa; Chordata; Actinopteri; Perciformes; Serranidae
Source: RefSeq, a predicted model, not a curated record